This 376-nucleotide unclassified non-coding RNA is filed under the name uncultured bacterium. Its description in RNAcentral is "contains 16S-23S intergenic spacer region". The record is from RNAcentral.
UCUCGGCUUAUCACCGGCAGUCCCCCUAGAGUGCCCAACCUAAUGAUGGCAACUAGGGGCGAGGGUUGCGCUCGUUGCGGGACUUAACCCGACAUCUCACGACACGAGCUGACGACAACCAUGCACCACCUGUACACCGCCCUUGCGGACCCCGUAUCUCUACGAGUUUUCGGUGUAUGUCAAGCCUUGGUAAGGUUCUUCGCGUUGCAUCGAAUUAAACCACAUGCUCCACCGCUUGUGCGGGCCCCCGUCAAUUUCUUUGAGUUUUAACCUUGCGGCCGUACUCCCCAGGCGGGGCACUUAAUGCGUUAGCUACGGCACGGAGGGCGUUGAUAACCCCCCACACCUAGUGCCCAACGUUUAGGGCGUGGACUAC